AGCCCGGGCAUCUAUUUCUUGUUAUUGCUCCUCCAAAUUUGCAAUUUGGCGUGAUUUCCACCUCCGGGCUUG
This 72-nucleotide transfer RNA is filed under the name Zonosaurus sp. TMT-2004a. RNAcentral's name for it is "tRNA-Cys". Lineage: Eukaryota; Metazoa; Chordata; Lepidosauria; Squamata; Gerrhosauridae. The record is from RNAcentral.